AUAAGAUCUAAAGAGGAAAAUCUACACAAGAUUGUGUGUGGGCCAGAAAGGCCGCCGUGAAUGGUGAGAAGGUGAGUCAAUCCAUCCAUCCUAAGUCAAAGAAUCCAACCAGUUCCAUGGAGGAGGCACAGAGGAAAAGAGGAAGGAACAAAGUGGAAGAAGAAGAGAAUGAAGAGGUGGGAAGAGAUGGGCAAGGAUGGGAGAGCAGAAGCCAAUCAAGAGAAGAAGGAAAAGCAAACAGAAGAGAGUAGAAAGGAAUGGGGGCCAGAAACAAGCAGGAAUCAUGAAGAGUGGGGAAAGGAGAGACUUUGGAAAUUCAAACAAGUAGAGGAGUGAAAAAAAUAGUGAUGAAAGCUGUAGGUGGCCCACCAGGUGUCAACAACUGUAGAGUUCCAUCAAGAGUCAUCAUUUUACAGUUACAAGUCGGAGGGGCCUUCACAGAUCCGUCAGGCUCAACACUGCCUCCUUAGUGAGCCUGUGAACCACCCAAGACGGCUGGUCAUCAGUGUCAUCCUCUUCCUUUUCCGGACAACUAUCUUUAAAAGAAAAAAAAAGAGUGUCUUUGAAUGUAUCCAUUUUAUCCCCAAAUAAUCUUGUUUAAUAAAUUCCUUAUUAGGCCAAAUCCAAUGUGCUGAAAUAUCUGCCAAGCAUGUCAUUCUACACAAAAGGGAUUUGCAAAUAGCCAGUAGUUGGCGUGAAGAAAGGACAUGUGAAAGCGCUGGGUGUGGAAUUUCCCAUCCUCGGCCGGAGGUCUACUACAGCUCGCUGUUUGCAGAUCUGGGCUGAGCUAUGCAUCACAUUGUUCAUGAAAGAAAAAGCAACUGCUCUCCCCAGUGCCCCUUCCCCGCUCCACAUGGCUGCGAUCAGCAGCCCCAAGACCCUAAUUGCCACAGCCUAUUAGAAAUAAUGAGACUUACAUGGCAGAAGCCAAGGGUAAAAGCGACAUCUCGCAACACGAAAGGUUAAUAUCAACAUAUACAGCUAGUGAGUGCAAAGGGCACCUCAGUUGGUGGCUCAUUAUGGCGGGCUGACCCAUAGGGAAAGUGUCAUUCUGCAGAGAGGCCUUUCUCAGGAUGUGGCAGCAAAAGUUACAAAAGAUAAGGACUUGCCUGUGAAACGCACUCAACUAAUGAGAGCUGAAGAUUGUUUGAAAUAUCCCGAUGACCUCACAGAUGGGGGAUGCUGAUUAAGAUGGCUACAGGAGGCUCCUUUCUUGUCUGACAGCCCAUUGAGAAGCUUUGGUGAGAUGUGACUAACAGGCCGUGAAGGUGUCUCCAUCUUCUCUGACAUGGUCCAUGCUUUGGGCAAAACAAACAUGAAAAAUAAGUCUGAACUGACACACAUGUUUGAAUUUAGUUUUCAGAGCCAUAUUUGGGGGAAGGAGCACUGGUGGGGCCGUCAGCGAUGAUUCCUUUAUGGUAAAGGGUGUUCGUGACUACUUGCGUGACUAAUCGCAUGACUGCGCUGGGGGGUGAGCCAACGGCAAAUUGAGGUCUUGAACACUUGACAAAACAACCCCUGUUCUGUGGGUGAAAUUCUAUAGAGCUUCAUGCGUAAUUAAAUGAAAGUUUCACAAGAGUCUACACCUCAAUCAUUUAAUGCCGAUAUGUAGCACAAAGGAAGGAUUUUUGCCACAUCAAAAUACAUCCAUGAAACAAUGGAGAAAUGUCCCAAGUUUUCAGAGUCAGAGAUACUCACAGAAGAAACCCUGGAGUUCUCUUGACCUUCAUUUAGUGCCUGGGACUCUGA
RNAcentral lists this long non-coding RNA (1749 nucleotides) under Homo sapiens (human). RNAcentral's name for it is "non-protein coding CYP1B1-AS1:45". The record is from RNAcentral. Lineage: Eukaryota; Metazoa; Chordata; Mammalia; Primates; Hominidae.